GCGGAGACGCCUCGAAGGGGUUCUGCUGCGUUUUCCGUAAGGGGCGGGCAGGCAGAGAGCCAACAGGCGCAGUCUUUUCCUGGCUGAGUUUCUGCCGCUGAUAGGCUAGGCAGCACAGGCACACGUUGGCUGGCAAAAUAAUAACGGGCAAAUAAUAACGGGCUGUAUGCAUUGCUAGCCCUACUUUGGGUAGAUCCAUUGAAAUGAAUGAUCAUGACUAAGGCGCUGUGAUCCUAUCUUGGAUAUGGGCUUUACACGAUUCCCAUUCAACACUCUGAGGAGAAGCUGAACCCUCAUCAGUUUCAAAAUGUUCCUGAAGUUUGCCUUGCCCCAUCCCCAUCUUCUAACAUUCUCAUCCCUACAUCUCAGUCAGCAGGGCCAGUGGUCAGAGGUGAUGGCGAACAAGCACAGAUGCUCCCCAGCCCUGCCCCACAUUCUGAACAGGCAGCCAAAGAAAGGGGCCACUGGCACCCAGCUGCUGCUGGGCAGUCUGCUGCCCAAACCACACACCCCAACCUGAUCCAGCCACAUACCUGGUGAGGGUUGGCCAGAAGCAGAACUUGAGAUAUCACCGUUGGGGGAAGGAGUGGGUUGAAGGCCGGCAGCUCGGAGCCUGUGGCCGGUUGCAGCUUGAUGGCCAUCGACUAUCAUUCAGCAGCAAGGAAGAGGAGAGGGAGAGAGGAAGAAAGAUGAGCUCUCCUCAGGCACAAGCUCAGCCCAAGUGGGGUCGCUGGGACAACUCCAUGGCUCAGUGCCCCAGCAGCAUAUCAAUCACAACAUUUUAUAAAUUAUCCCCUCUUUCUGUUUCAAGUUGAAACCCCCAAGGAAAAUACACCCUCAUACCGCAAAGCAGGAAGGCAAGGCAAAAGUGACAAAAACAGUGGUCAGGCCAAAGACCUGCUGGAAGAGAAACGUUUUCUGCUGGCCUGGUCUGUAUGGAAGCCUAAGAUCCUUGUGACAUCAGGUGGGAAAAGCCUCAGCCUUCCCUGACAGCAGCAAGAAAUGGAACCUUUAGCAUCGUCGGCCAAGUCCUGUGGGACCUUCUGCCACUGGAGAUUCAGCAGGGGCCAUCUAACGCCUGCUGAAAACUUUUAUAUUCUGCCAUACCUGUGCAGGCAAUCAAGAAUAGCUCCUUCACAAUGGUUUAACUGGUGUCUGCUUUUUAACUUUUGUUACGGCUUGUAUUGUAUUGCUUUAUGUUUUUACUGCUAUAACCCGCUUUGUUAAAUUAUUUAUGGCACUGCGGCAUACACAUAUUUUUAUAAGUAAAUAAAUGAAGGGCACUA
Podarcis muralis (Common wall lizard) is the source of this 1286-nucleotide long non-coding RNA. RefSeq lists it as uncharacterized. The record is from RefSeq and is a predicted model, not a curated record. NCBI's taxonomy places the organism in Eukaryota, Metazoa, Chordata, Lepidosauria, Squamata, Lacertidae.